RNAcentral lists this ribosomal RNA (253 nucleotides) under uncultured bacterium. Its description in RNAcentral is "partial 16S ribosomal RNA". It matches the Rfam family "Bacterial small subunit ribosomal RNA", at positions 524 to 776 of the family's 1533-position model. The record is from RNAcentral.
UACGGAGGAUCCAAGCGUUAUCCGGAAUCAUUGGGUUUAAGGGGUCCGUAGGCGGUUUUGUAAGUCAGUGGUGAAAGCCCAUCGCUCAACGGUGGAACGGCCAUUGAUACUGCAAGACUUGAAUUAUUAGGAAGUAACUAGAAUAUGUAGUGUAGCGGUGAAAUGCUUAGAGAUUACAUGGAAUACCAAUUGCGAAGGCAGGUUACUACUAGUGGAUUGACGCUGAUGGACGAAAGCGUGGGGAGCGAACAGG